RNAcentral lists this ribosomal RNA (762 nucleotides) under uncultured bacterium. Its description in RNAcentral is "bacterial SSU rRNA". It matches the Rfam family "Bacterial small subunit ribosomal RNA", at positions 771 to 1532 of the family's 1533-position model. The record is from RNAcentral.
AACAGGAUUAGAUACCCGGGUAGUCACGCCGUAAACGAUGAAUACCAGCCGUUGGCGAGCUUGCUGAUCAGUGGCGCAGCUAACGCGCAUAAGCAUUCCGCGUGGGAGUACGGUGGCAAGAUUAAAAAUCAAAGGAAAUGACGGGGGCCCGCACAAGCGCUGGAGCAUGUGUUGUAUUUUGAAGCAACGCGCAGAGCACUACCAGCGUCCGACACGUCCGGUAUGGAUCCCGGAGACAGGUUCGUUCAGUUCGGAAGGCAGGAACACAGGUGGCACAUGGCUGUACUCAGCUCGUGUCGUGAGAUGUUGGGUUAAGUCCCGCAACGAGCGCAACCCUUCCCCCUAGUUGCCAUCAUUAGGUUGGGCGCUCUAGGGGGACUGCCGGUGAUAAGCCGAGAGGAAGGUGGGGAUGAGGUCAAGUCUUCAUGGCCCUUACGGCAUGGGUUCCACACGUGUUCCAAUGGCGGUGACAAAGGGCAGCGAACCCGGGAGGGGGAGUUAUUCCUUAAAAGCGGUCUCAGUUCAGAUUGCAGUCUGCAACUCGAGUGCAUGAAGUCGGAAUCGCUAGUAAUCGUGAAUCAGAACGUCACGGUGAAUACGUUCCCGGGCCUUGUACACACCGCCCGUCACACCAUGGGAGUUGGUCUUACCAGACGUAGCUGCGCCAACCGCAAGGAGGCAGGCGACCACGGUAGGGUCAGCGACUGGGGUGAAGUCGUAACAAGGUAGCCGUAGGGGAACCUGCGGCUGGAUCACCUCCUU